AAGCAGUAUUGUAUCUUCUUAUUGAAGAAAAAGCUAUUAUAAAUAAUCAUUUCUUUGAACCAUAAGUGAUACAAAAAGUACAAAGAUUGAGAUUUCGUGUAUAGCAAAAAUAUUCUCUUGCAUAUUAAUUGUUUCUAACAUCAGGUUAUUAAUCAUUAUAACCUAAAUUUCACUUCGAAUCGAAAUGUAGGUAUUAAAAUCAAAUCUCCAAACGUCUUAAAUAUUUAUCUUUUAGGUUAUAUCAUUUAGCUCGACGAUAUUUAAGAAAAAGUACAUCGAUGAAAUUUCCCCUUUGUUCGUAAGUAGCACAAAAAAAGGGAAAUUUCCCUAACUUAACAACACUGUAUUUAAAUGUAAACAAAGUCGCAGAAGUGCAGAUAAACAACCAAAUGAAGCAAUUGCAUGCAACUGUUUUGUUCUACGUCUAAUCACAUAAGCAACCAACAGAUGUGAUAGCCGGCGCAACAGUUGGUUAUUUUAUCAGAGUCUGGAACGUUCUGCAGGGGAUUUGAUAAUAAGAUCCAGAUUUUAUUAAAAACCAAGUAUCAUCACGGAAGUCUACAUUUGAAUGCCGCUCUUAAGUCAAAUACGUACAUGAUUGAAAUAUAAAAUUCUGUUAGAAAAAGCUAUUUUUCAUAAAAAUGUUUGGAAAUUGUUAAUGUUAAUGUAUA
This is a long non-coding RNA of Bactrocera tryoni, 671 nucleotides long. RefSeq lists it as uncharacterized. The transcript is spliced from 3 exons. The record is from RefSeq and is a predicted model, not a curated record. Lineage: Eukaryota; Metazoa; Arthropoda; Insecta; Diptera; Tephritidae.